This 240-nucleotide long non-coding RNA is filed under the name Lathyrus oleraceus (garden pea). RNAcentral describes it as "Pisum sativum (pea) long non-coding RNA (PSAT_LNC007119)". Lineage: Eukaryota; Viridiplantae; Streptophyta; Magnoliopsida; Fabales; Fabaceae. The record is from RNAcentral.
AAAAAUUUAGGAGAUAGGGUCUAGGAAUCCCUAGUUUUGAUCAGAUGAAUUCCUCUGGUCAACUACCAUCAACCAACUUGCUAACUUGCAAUUCUCUUGACUUUUGGGACUCAUGGGAGAUUAUAUAUGCAUAAGAUGAUGAAAUUUGAAGUAUACCUUUAAAUAUUUGAUCAAAUGUUGAAGAAGCUUGGUGAAGAAGUUACACAAGAUACCUAGAUGAACUAGGGUUUCCAAGGCAAA